CUACGGGCCGCACCAGUUAGGAAUAAUCUACAAUGCGCGCAAGCGUGAUAGUUUGAGCCAGAGUGCGUUUCUAUUGAAACGCUUUUGCCGAAUGUAAAAAGUUCGGCGAAUAAGGACUGGGUAAGACUAGUGCCAGCCGCCGCGGUGAAUACUAGCGGUCCAAGUCGCAGCCAUCUUUAUUGGGUCUAAAACAUCCGUAGCUUGCUUAGUAAGUUUCCUGUGAAAUCUGGCUUCUUAAAAGUCGGGCGGGCGGGAAGUACUGCUAAGCUAGAGACUGGGAGACGUAAGAAGUAUGUUCAAAGUAGCAGUAAAAUGCUUUAAUCUUGAGCAGACUAACAACAGCGAAGGCAUCUUACGAGAACAGUUCUGACAGUCAGGGAUGAAGGCUAGGGUCGCGAAAGGGAUUAGAUACCCGGGUAGUC
Molecule: ribosomal RNA, 422 nt
Filed under: uncultured archaeon
Lineage: Archaea
Description: partial 16S ribosomal RNA
Rfam family: Archaeal small subunit ribosomal RNA
Source: RNAcentral